AGAGUUUGAUCAUGGCUCAGGAUGAACGCUGGCGGCGUGCCUAACACAUGCAAGUCGAACGGAGACAGAGAGACGUUUCGGACAGACCUCUAUCUUAGUGGCGGACGGGUGAGUAACGCGUGGAUAACCUGCCUCUUUCUGGGGGAUAGCAGUUGGAAACGACUGAUAAUACCGCAUAAGUUCCUUUUCUCGCAUGAGGGGAGGAAGAAAGAUUUAUCGGGAAGAGAUGGAUCCGCGUCUGAUUAGCCAGUUGGCGGGGUAACGGCCCACCAAAGCGACGAUCAGUAGCCGGCCUGAGAGGGUGAACGGCCACAUUGGGACUGAGACACGGCCCAAACUCCUACGGGAGGCAGCAGCUAAGAAUCUUCCGCAAUGGGCGAAAGCCUGACGGAAGCGACGCCGCGUGAACGAAGAAGGCCGUGAGGUUGUAAAGUUCUUUUCGGGAGGGGGAACAACCGUGGCAGGGAAUGGCCGCGGGAUGACGUGAAUCCCGGAAUAAGCCCCGGCUAACUACGUGCCAGCCGCGGC
This 528-nucleotide ribosomal RNA is filed under the name uncultured bacterium. Its description in RNAcentral is "bacterial SSU rRNA". It matches the Rfam family "Bacterial small subunit ribosomal RNA", at positions 8 to 518 of the family's 1533-position model. The record is from RNAcentral.